UAAAAAGUAGUGUACUGUGCUGCGCGUAGAGAUUUGGCCUCUAAGGAAAAGAUUCGUUAUCUUUCUUUUUAU
Molecule: transfer RNA, 72 nt
Filed under: Hanleyella oldroydi
Lineage: Eukaryota; Metazoa; Mollusca; Polyplacophora; Lepidopleurida; Lepidopleuridae
Description: tRNA-Gln
Source: RNAcentral